AAGAAGAAGUUGACGGUGUUUAUGAAAUCACAGCACAAAAACAAUUUAUCCACAAACAUACUGAAUGACACUUGAAGAUACUGAAUAACAAGAGACUCACUGAAAGAGACUGAAAAUCCAAGGGAGGCAGAGGAGUAACAACAUGUCCAAGCUGGGAAAUAUAUCUCCGGGCCUCUCAAUGACAAGAAGUAAGUUACUGGAAAAAAAAGCGGAGAGUCCUCAGACUUGUGAUCAGUGCGGAAAGAGUUUCACCCGAAAAGAGAAGCUCAAAGAGCACAUGAAAAUCCACACCGGAGAGAAGCUGCCUACGUGUGAUCAGUGCGGGAGGAGUUUCACAUAUAAAACGUCUCUUAGAGUGCACAUGAAAAUCCACAGCGGAGAGAAACCGCACACCUGUGAUCAGUGCGGGAAAAGUUUCACACAUAAAGGAACCCUUAAAAAUCACAUAAGAGCUCAUACGGGAGAGAGGCCGUACACGUGUGAUCAAUGUGGAGUUUGUUUCAAACAGAAACGAAGUCUUGAGGAUCACUUGACAAUUCACACUGGAGAAAAGCCGCACCAAUGUGAUCAAUGC
RNAcentral lists this long non-coding RNA (574 nucleotides) under Danio rerio (zebrafish). Its description in RNAcentral is "si:dkey-253d23.1 (si:dkey-253d23.1)". Lineage: Eukaryota; Metazoa; Chordata; Actinopteri; Cypriniformes; Danionidae. The record is from RNAcentral.